RNAcentral lists this transfer RNA (76 nucleotides) under Planctomycetaceae bacterium. Its description in RNAcentral is "tRNA-Pro". It matches the Rfam family "tRNA". From Rfam's summary of the family: Transfer RNA (tRNA) molecules are approximately 80 nucleotides in length. Their secondary structure includes four short double-helical elements and three loops (D, anti-codon, and T loops). The record is from RNAcentral. Lineage: Bacteria; Pseudomonadati; Planctomycetota; Planctomycetia; Planctomycetales; Planctomycetaceae.
CGGGGCGUGGCGCAGCCUGGUUUAGCGCGUUUGACUGGGGGUCAAAAGGUCGCAGGUUCGAAUCCUGUCGCCCCGA